This 253-nucleotide ribosomal RNA is filed under the name uncultured bacterium. Its description in RNAcentral is "partial 16S ribosomal RNA". It matches the Rfam family "Bacterial small subunit ribosomal RNA", at positions 524 to 776 of the family's 1533-position model. The record is from RNAcentral.
CACGUAGGGCGCAAGCGUUGUCCGGAAUUAUUGGGCGUAAAGAGCUCGUAGGCGGUCUGUUGCGUCCGCUGUGAAAACUCGGGGCUUAACCCCGAGCCUGCAGUGGAUACGGGCAGACUAGAGGUAGGUAGGGGAGAAUGGAAUUCCCGGUGUAGCGGUGAAAUGCGCAGAUAUCGGGAGGAACACCAGUGGCGAAGGCGGCUCACUGGUCCGAUACUGACGCUGAGGUGCGAAAGCGUGGGGAGCAAACAGG